GUGCUCCCCCGCCAAUUCCUUUAAGUUUCAGCCUUGCGGCCGUACUCCCCAAGCAGCAGGCUUAACACCUUCGCUACGGCACUGAGACCCCCCAAAGGAGUCCCAACACCAAGCCUGCAGCGUUUACAGCUAGGACUACCCGGGUAUCUAAUCCGGUUUGCGCCCCUAGCCUUCGUCCCUUACCGUCGGAUCCGUUCUAGCCAGACGCCUUCGCCACCGGUGGUCCGUCGAGGAUUAAAGGAUUUUACCCCUACCCCCGACGUACCUCUGGCCUCUCCCGGUCCCAAGCCCGGUAGUCUCUCCAGAAUUCGAACAGUUAAGCUGCCCGAUUUACCCAGAGAUUUGCCGGGCCGGCUACGGACGUUUUAGGCUCAAUAAAAAGGGUCACCACUUGGGCUGCCGGUAUUACCGCGGCGGCUGGCACCGGUCUUACCCAGCCCUUACUUCACAUGCUUUUUAGGCAUGUGAACAGCCCAGACUAACGCCUGGGCACUUGGGGUUCCCUCAUCACGGUUUCCCGCAGUGUGAAGUCUUCGCGACUGCUGCGCCCCGUAGGGCCUGGACUCGUGUCUCAGAGUCCAUCUCCGGGCUCCCCCGCUCAGGGCCCGUACCCGUCGCAGGCUUGGUGGUCCUUUACACCACCAACUACCUGAUAGGUCGCAGACCCAUCCUCGGGCGCCGGAGCUUUCAGUCAUGGAGCAUUCCAGCGACCAUGACCUAUGGGGUAUUAGCCUCAGUUUCCCGAGAUUAUCCCCCACCUGAGGGCAGGUUAUCCACGUGUUACUGAGCAGU
Molecule: ribosomal RNA, 792 nt
Filed under: uncultured euryarchaeote
Lineage: Archaea; Methanobacteriati; Methanobacteriota
Description: partial 16S ribosomal RNA
Source: RNAcentral